CUCCUUUGACGUUAGCGGCGGACGGGUGAGUAACAAGUGGGUAACCUACCUAUAAGACUGGGAUAACUUCGGGAAACCGGAGCUAAUACCGGAUAAUAUUUCGAACCGCAUGGUUCGAUAGUGAAAGGUGGUUUUGCUAUCACUUAUAGAUGGACCCGCGCCGUAUUAGCUAGUUGGUAAGGUAACGGCUUACCAAGGCGACGAUACGUAGCCGACCUGAGAGGGUGAUCGGCCACACUGGAACUGAGACACGGUCCAGACUCCUACGGGAGGCAGCAGCC
Molecule: ribosomal RNA, 281 nt
Filed under: uncultured Staphylococcus sp.
Lineage: Bacteria; Bacillati; Bacillota; Bacilli; Caryophanales; Staphylococcaceae
Description: partial 16S ribosomal RNA
Rfam family: Bacterial small subunit ribosomal RNA
Source: RNAcentral